AUUAUUAAUGCCUUUGUGCUUCCAAAUGGACAAAUGUUUGUUUUCAGUGGAUUGUUAAAUAGUGUAACCGAUAUUGAUCAACUUUCUUUCCUUCUGGGCCAUGAAAUAGCACAUGCAGUACUUGGACAUGCUGCAGAAAAGGCUGGCAUGGUUCACUUUUUGGAUUUCCUAGGUAUGAUUUUCCUCACAAUGAUUUGGGCCAUUUGUCCUCGAGAUAGUUUGGCACUUUUGGGCCAGUGGAUACAGUCUAAAUUGCAGGAGUAUAUGUUUAAUAGACCAUACAGCAGAAAAUUGGAGGCUGAAGCUGACAAAAUUGUACUACUGCUUGCUGCAAAGGCUUGUGUAGACAUAAGAGCCAGUUCAGUGUUUUGGCAGCAAAUGGAGUUUGUCGAUAGCCUGCAUGGCCUACCCAAGAUGCCAGAAUGGUCAUCUACACACCCUUCUCAUGGCAAUCGAGUUGAACAUCUGGAUAGACUUAUACCUCAGGCUCUCAAAAUUAGAGAGAUGUGUAAUUGCCCACCACUGUCUAAACCAGACCCUCGAUUACUAUUCAAAUUCAGCAUGGAGCAUUUUCUUGAAGAAUCAGAGAAAGAAGACCUAAAUAUCACAAAGAAACAGAAAAUGGAUACUCUUCCCAUUCAAAAACAGGAGCAAAUACCAUUAACAUACGUAGUUGAGAAAAGAACUGGCAGUUGAAUUAAAAUUUAUGAGACACAAGAUAUAUGAAGAAUGUUGCAGUCCUUAUCAUUUUAUGUUACUUUUAAAAAAAUGAUGUUUGAAGUGAAAAAAAAAGGAUAUUCAGGGUCAAAUCAUGUAUAUUACAGAUACUAUCUAAAUUCUUCCAGAAUUUAUUUUUCAUGAAAUAUUGAUAUAUUUUAAUCUAUGUUAAAAUAUCUUGAAUGAGGAAAAUGUCACAGAAUAAAUUUAUAUUACACA
Molecule: RNA transcript, 936 nt
Organism: Piliocolobus tephrosceles (Ugandan red Colobus)
Lineage: Eukaryota; Metazoa; Chordata; Mammalia; Primates; Cercopithecidae
Gene name: metalloendopeptidase OMA1, mitochondrial pseudogene
Exons: 1
Source: RefSeq, a predicted model, not a curated record